Molecule: ribosomal RNA, 639 nt
Filed under: Oscillatoria sp. BDU 141541
Lineage: Bacteria; Bacillati; Cyanobacteriota; Cyanophyceae; Oscillatoriales; Oscillatoriaceae
Description: bacterial SSU rRNA
Rfam family: Bacterial small subunit ribosomal RNA (bases 1-411)
Source: RNAcentral
GGGGGAGCUCUUGGGUUGUAACCUCUUUUCUCAGGGAAGAAGUUCUGACGGUACCUGAGGAAUAAGCAUCGGCUAACUCCGUGCCAGCAGCCGCGGUAAUACGGAGGAUGCAAGCGUUAUCCGGAAUUAUUGGGCGUAAAGCGUCCGCAGGUGGCAUUUCCAGUCUGCUGUCAAAGACCAAGGCUCAACCUUGGGCAGGCAGUGGAAACUGAAAAGCUAGAGUGCGGUAGGGGUAGGGGGAAUUCCCAGUGUAGCGGUGAAAUGCGUAGAGAUUGGGAAGAACACCGGUGGCGAAAGCGCCCUACUAGGCCGCAACUGACACUCAGGGACGAAAGCUAGGGUAGCGAAUGGGAUUAGAUACCCCAGUAGUCGAAUGCAAGCGUUAUCCGGAAUUAUUGGGCGUAAAGCGUCCGUAGGUGGCUAUUCCAGUCGGCGGUUAAAGACCGGGGCUUAACUCUGGAAAGGCCGUGGAAACUGAAAAGCUAGAGUGCGGUAGGGGUAGGGGGAAUUCCCGGUGUAGCGGUGAAAUGCGUAAAGAUCGGGAAGAACACCGGUGGCGAAAGCGCCCUACUGGGCCGCAACUGACACUGAGGGACGAAAGCUAGGGGAGCGAAUGGGAUUAGAUACCCCAGUAGUCAA